RNAcentral lists this ribosomal RNA (497 nucleotides) under uncultured bacterium. Its description in RNAcentral is "partial 16S ribosomal RNA". It matches the Rfam family "Bacterial small subunit ribosomal RNA", at positions 28 to 507 of the family's 1533-position model. The record is from RNAcentral.
GAUGAACGCUGGCGGCGUGCCUAAUACAUGCAAGUCGAGCGAACAGACGAGGAGCUUGCUCCUCUGACGUUAGCGGCGGACGGGUGAGUAACACGUGGAUAACCUACCUAUAAGACUGGGAUAACUUCGGGAAACCGGAGCUAAUACCGGAUAAUAUAUUGAACCGCAUGGUUCAAUAGUGAAAGACGGUUUUGCUGUCACUUAUAGAUGGAUCCGCGCCGCAUUAGCUAGUUGGUAAGGUAACAGCUUACCAAGGCAACGAUGCGUAGCCGACCUGAGAGGGUGAUCGGCCACACUGGAACUGAGACACGGUCCAGACUCCUACGGGAGGCAGCAGUAGGGAAUCUUCCGCAAUGGGCGAAAGCCUGACGGGGCAACGCCGCGUGAGUGAUGAAGGUCUUCGGAUCGUAAAACUCUGUUAUUAGGGAAGAACAAAUGUGUAAGUAACUAUGCACGUCUUGACGGUACCUAAUCAGAAAGCCACGGCUAACUACGUG